AUGAAACAAGUAGGUUGCAGUUGAAUGAUUUUUUUUUGAAGAGAAAUCUAAAAUAAUGGAUUUUCCUUAUACAGAUGCUUCCUACUUUCAGGAGGCAUUUGAGGCAGACCCCCACUGCAGACUGCUAGCUAAAGCUGAAUCUCGUGGAACUAGAGGUAAACUAGUGACCUAACUAGUUUAGUGGCCGAAGGCCAGCAGAGUCAGUGGCAGGUAUCAACAUAAAGGUUUCCAUUACUGCUGCAAGCAUAAAUUAUUUAAAUGUUGAGACAGAAAGAUACAGUAUAUAUCUAAGCUUUCAAUACAAAGAUAAACUACAACGUACCACAGGUGGCUGUAUUAAAUUACAUAAAAGACACUUGUUCCUUCUGUGCCCUGUUAUAUGAUGUGGGCAAUCAUGCUCUUUCCAUGACCAUGAUUGUUCUUGGCAAAUUUUUCAACAGAUGUGAUUUGGCAUUGCCUUCUUCUGGGCAGUGUCUUUACAACUGGGUGGUGACCCCAGCCAUUGUCAAUAUUCUUCAAAGAUUAUCUGUCUGGCGUUAGUGUUCAGGGCUUGUGAUAUGCACCAGCUGCUCACGCAACCGUCAACUACCUGCUCCCAUGGUUUCACGUGCCCCUGAUUUUGGGUGGGGUGGGGGUGCUAAGCAGGUGCUACACUUUGCCUAAAGCUAACCAGCAAGCUAGUGGAGGGAAGGAGUGUCUUGCACUUCCUUCAGUAGAGACACAUCUUCACCCCACCACCUAAAAACGAGCCAUCAGGUGCAGGAAGUGUUAUAACCCCUCAACCAUCAGACUCCUGAACCAAAGAGGAUAACUUCACUCACCCUAUCAUUGAAAUGUUCCCACAACCUAUGGACUCAAUUUCAAGGACUCCUCAUCUCACACUCUCAAAAAUAUUGCUUACUUAUUUAGUAUUAUUUUGUUCUUUUUGUAUUUGUACAUUUUGCUGUCUUUUGCCUGCUGGCUGUAUGCCCAAGUCUUUCACUGUUAUGGUUAUUAUUCUAUUAUGGAAUUAUUGCAUAUGACUGCAAGAAAAUGAAUCUCAGGGCUGUAUAUGGUGACAUAUAUGUACUUUGAUAAUAAAUUGACUUCAAACUUUGAAAAAAAGAUGUUAAUAGAAUAAAUGGGAAAGAUGUGGUAUAUGGACAUUAUUCCAGAUAAACAAGGUGCUAUCUUUUAUCGAUCAAGGAGACUGAACGUAGGGCACUUACAAAAUAGGCCAGCACUUAGUAACACAAGAUCUGAUAGGAGCUUGGGAGGGCAUGAUAAACAAUAUAUACGGAUGACAAAGUCAAGUAUAGUAAAUGAUCUAAGAGGCUUAUCAAUUUUAUAUUCAGUGCAGAUACUGCAAAACACUCUUCUCUGAACCAUCUUCCCCUCUUUCACAUAUUACAAUCAAAAACUAUGUUAUUUUAUUGUUACCCAAGUUCUAGUUUUACCACAUUAUGGGAGGGACAAGAUCUCAAUUGAUUAAAGAAAGGAAGAGGACAGAAGUAGACCUCACUGAAGUAAUUAAACUACAGGAGUCAGUCAAUGACCCCUUAGGUUGGCUCCACCAUUUAAUAUUAAGAUCAGCACUGGGUAUUGCAACUUAGAAACUGUAUACUGUCCAAAAAAGAGUAUAUCUGGAUAUUAACAGGACAGAAAGGAAUAAAUUGCAAGAAGAGAUAUUAUGAAGGAUUGUACUCUCCAAUAUUCAGAAGCCUGCACAGUGAUUUUUAGAACUUUUAAAAAUAGAUACAGAUGGUGAAGAAGUAGGAUAGAUAGAGAAACUGUUUCUGUUGGAUUCGGAGUGAGAGGUAUAGUCACAAAAUUAGGGCGAGACACUUCAAUAGUAGAAUUAGGAAACACUUGUAUGCACAGAAGGUGGCAGAAAAUCAGACCCUCCUCUUAAACAGUAAUUGAUGUUAGGCCAAUCACUAAGUUUAAAUCUGAGCUUCACAGAUUUUUGUGAUGUUACUGUUUAACGGAAAGAGGUGAGAUUUUGGAUGAGGCAAAACAACAGCUAUAACCCAAACAGAGCUAGAACCACACUGAUCAAGGGAGUUCUCCACCACUUUCAAACCCUUCCCCUGCUAACCUUUGUCUGUCAGUUCACAAUUCCACAGAGAAAGAUACAAUUCAAGAGCAGGCCAUUCAGCAUGUUAUUUUUUUUUGUAAUUCCAAAACAAACUGAAAGGAAACCAUGGAGCCGGGGAGAAGAGUCUACUUCAUUCCUACUUUAGAGAGGCGAGCACAUAUGAUGUGGUGGCAUAAUGACAUAAGCCAUUCAUGUACUUUUACAUAUAACCCAUAAUGAAUUAUAUAAACAGCAAAAAAAAACUUAAUAAAACAAUAUAUUUACAAUAUUACUCAAAUAUUAAAUACACAACACUCCCUGCUUAGCUAUAAAUUCCAACUCAAUAUAGACUGCAUCUCAACUUAAACACGUAAUGUAUUCCUCUCUAGUCCUCUCUCUCUUGUGAGAUAACGCCUUUCCUGACAAGGAGUUCACUCUGCUUGAACCAAUCUCAGUUUCUGGGGCCUCCUCCAUAGUGUUGUAGGAGUUGACUCUGGGACUGCAGGAAGUGCUUGUGACAGCUCUAGACACCUUUCUUCUCCAACAAUCAACUCUGCUCUUCUUAACUGAUCCAUGUGUUGUCUCCAGAUGAAUUUAGAGGAUCCACUCAACCUUGGAAAGAACUCCUUCAACCUUUUGUAAAUCUAGCUCACUGGCUACUUUAUCAAGGAUGGUAUAAGGAACUGGAUGAGCUUUUCAAAAUUGGGUGUGGCAUUUUUAUUUACCACUAUUUUACCCUUAAUAUAUUUGAGUUUUCCAAUGCCAUCCUUGUACACUGCUACGACAACAUCCAGUACCUUUCUUAAUUUGCUUUCGGUUUACUCUUUUGCAGGGGAUGUGGCACGCAAAUGGUGGAUGGAUCUCCAAUCAAGUUGUAGCUGUCUCAGCCAAUCACAACCCCACAAUACUGGCCCUUUUGAUCUUACCACAUACAAGCCCAAUGUGGCUUGUUAGUUGUUGCAUCUCACUGUUGCAAAAAUGUCAUUCCCACAGGAGUUAUCUUUUCUCCAGUACAAGUUCUUAGUUGGAUAUCUGCUGGUUUCAAUUCAGUAUCUUUGAAAUGCCAACCAAAUUCAUUUUGCCGAAUGACUGAAACAGCUGAGCCAGUGUCUAAUCCCAUUCUAUUUAAUAUGCUGUUCACUUCUGGUUGUAAGCCAUAUUGCUCGUCUAUUAGUUAUCACAUUGUAAAUCUCGAGGCUACACAGUCCUGUGUCACUCUCAGAUUUUUCAUCAACAGCAUUCAGAUUCAUGCUCUUUUUGCAACUGCAACUUGACUUUUUAAUCAUUUUCUCUUUUCUGCAUAAUCCAUUUAUUUUUGUCUGCCCUAAGUGCUCUUUGUAUGUGUACAUUUUCUGCAAGUUUCACCUUUAAAUCUGCAAUGGCUUGUUCUAUGUGAAUCCCUGCCAUAAUGGUAACACAAUUUGUUCAGCCAGGCUAGCUUCUGUCCAGAUGCUGCAAUUUUGUUCACGCUCACCUUCAGUCCUGACUGCAACUCAAUUGUCUGCUGUUUCCAUUGAUGCAGCAAUUUGAACUGUUCUUUUAAAUGUAAGUUGUGCUUCAGUUAGAAGCCAUUUCUGAAUGUGUUCUCGUACAAUUCCACAAACUAAACAAUCUCAGUGCAUCAUUAAGCCCAUCUCUGAACUGAUAAUACUCAGAUAAUUUCCUCAAUUUCAGCAAACUGAAAUGGACUCCCCUUCCUUUUGAUUCAGCUUAUGAAAACUAAAGCAUUCUAUAAUCAACAGUGGUUUCUGUUCUAAAUGUUCCUGCAUCAUGUUCAUGAUAUCAGCAAAACUCAUUUCGGCUGGUUUGGUUGGAGGAGUCAAACUAAAUGUUCUUCUGCCAACUGCACUCAGAAAAACUGACACUCAUUUAUCAUUGGCUAUUUCACUUGCUUCACAAUAUUGCUCAAUUUGCUCAGUGUACAAAAUCCAGUUAUCUUUUGUGCAAUCAAACAUCUCUAUCUUUCUGAAGUAGCUAGCAAUUUCAGCAGUUUUAUUAUCACCUGGUACUCGUGUUUAUGAACCCGUGAAAUUUGUCUGCUUUUUGCCAUUUAUUUUAACUCAACUGUCUUUCUCUCCGCUGAAGAAAAAAAGCACACAGUGCUUUUUAAAAAACUUGAAUGUCUCACUGUGCUUCAACGUCUCAGGAUUCUACAGAGUCUCAGAGCUCCGACAACCCAACUUCUAUCCCGACUCCAGGUGUCAUGUGUGGAGUGUGUACGUUCUCCUGUGAACACAUGGAUUUUCCCCGAGUGCUUCAAGAUCCCGAAGGUUAACUGCUGCUGCUAAUUACUGCUCAGUGUAGGGAAACAGAAGAAGAAUCACAGUGGAGUUGGUGAGCAGCUGUGGCCUCUGGAACGAUCCGAGCUUAUGUCAGCCAAGUGAGCAUUUCUCAAGGACUGAACCUGCAACCUGCCAAAUUUCCUUCAACAGCGUCCCCAAGCUUGCGACCUUGAACGGGAAAAUGGGAGCAACUGCACAGGGAUUCCGUGACCUUCCAACUCACACACUAUACUUAAGCUUUUGUUCAUAUGUCACCAUUCCUUUUAUGAGUCAAAAUCUUGGAACUCUUUAUCCAGUGCUGUGGGGGAUAUUUUCACCAGGUGGCAAGAAGAGGACAGUUCACGAUUUCCUCAAACUGAGAUAAACAAUGUAUUGUUCACAUCCUAAGCAAGGACAUGGUUCUAUAAUUGGUUAAAUUGCACUCAAGCCUCGACACUGGACGCCAGUCCCAGGUUAUAACACCUGACUUCCGGACCUUCCUACAUAUGAAUGAAUCCCAUCACAUAUUGACUAUGUUGUCAUUGGAGAGUUCAGAGGAGGUACACGAGGGUGAUUCUGGGAAUGAAGGGGUUAACAUAUGAGGAGCGUGCAGCAGCUUUGGGCCUGUACUCACUGGAAUUUGGAAGAGUGCGUGGGGAUCGCAUUGAAACCUACCGAAUGUUGCAAGGAUUAGAUAAGUUGGAUGUGGAGAAGAUGUUUCUUCUAGUCAGUUUAUCCAGAACUGGAGAGCACAGCCUCAAAGUUGAGGGACGACCUUUUAGAACAGAGGUAAGGAGGAGUAUUUUUGGCCAGAGAGUAGUGACUCUCUGCCACAGACUGCAGUGGAGGCCAAGUCCAUGAGCAUGUUUAAAGCGGAAUUUUAUAUCUUCCUGAUUGGUCAAGGCAUCAAAGGAUAUAGCGAGAAGGUAGGCGUAGGCGUAUGCGGUUGAGUGGGAUCUGGGAUCAGCCGCAAUGGAAUGGCAGAAUAGAUUCAAUGGGCUGAACAGCCUUGUAUGUUAUAGACAAAACUGACUUAUGAAUGUCUGUUUAAACAGAACCCACUCUUGACAGUCCGUACUUCAAAGCACAUCACUGUCGUGUCACGUACUGGCCUGUGAUAGUUCUGGUUAGCAGGACAUUGUCUAAGGUUCACAAUUCACUGGCACAGAAAUAUUCCCUGGCAGAUUUACUGUAUACAUCAAAUUAUGGUAUAAUUGUCAAAUAAGUUUUAUUUGCAAGUAACAAGCCCUGAAAUAUGUGCACUUGCAGUCCCAUGCUGUGAGUAUUGCAUGAUACAAAACCCAUUGAAAGCAUUCACAGACAUCCUAACAAUAGAACAACACAGUGGCUUCUCUAAAUACAAGGCAAAACAGCACCAACUAACCACUGUGCAGAACAAGAGGGAGCAGCCAUCCACCCACAGGUCUGUGCAAAAUUGAUUCUGUUCCAACCAGUAUGGAAAUACAACUAGUUUAUAGGUUUGGCUGUUAAGUUUACCCUAAAUACUCAGCUUCUGAUGAGAGAGAAGGAAGACCACUUAGCAAAGCAAGUUUAGGGCAUGUGAAAUGGUGACUAAACAAGAAUCUGCAUCAUACACAGUAACAACUUACAGUAUGCACAAGAUAAUGCACAUCAGCACAUCUUCCACCUGACAGGAAACAUGCAACAAAUACAAAGACGGCAAUGAGUAAAUCUAUCUGCUGUUCAAAGUAAUCAGUCAAUUCUUACUGGCUUGGCCCCAUUUUGGAUAAAAUCCUGGAACCUGCUCUACUAACAUGUAGUUAGAAAACUUUGACAGAACUUCUCUCUCAUUCUCUAA
Molecule: long non-coding RNA, 6136 nt
Organism: Hypanus sabinus (Atlantic stingray)
Lineage: Eukaryota; Metazoa; Chordata; Chondrichthyes; Myliobatiformes; Dasyatidae
Exons: 3
Source: RefSeq, a predicted model, not a curated record